Molecule: ribosomal RNA, 500 nt
Filed under: uncultured bacterium
Lineage: Bacteria
Description: bacterial SSU rRNA
Rfam family: Bacterial small subunit ribosomal RNA
Source: RNAcentral
AGAGUUUGAUCCUGGCUCAGGACGAACGCUGGCGGCGUGCUUAACACAUGCAAGUCGAGCGAUGAAGCUCCUUCGGGAGUGGAUUAGCGGCGGACGGGUGAGUAACACGUGGGUAACCUGCCUCAUAGAGGGGAAUAGCCUUUCGAAAGGAAGAUUAAUACCGCAUAAGAUUGUAGUACCGCAUGGUACAGCAAUUAAAGGAGUAAUCCGCUAUGAGAUGGACCCGCGUCGCAUUAGCUAGUUGGUGAGGUAACGGCUCACCAAGGCGACGAUGCGUAGCCGACCUGAGAGGGUGAUCGGCCACAUUGGGACUGAGACACGGCCCAGACUCCUACGGGAGGCAGCAGUGGGGAAUAUUGCACAAUGGGGGAAACCCUGAUGCAGCAACGCCGCGUGAGUGAUGACGGUCUUCGGAUUGUAAAGCUCUGUCUUUAGGGACGAUAAUGACGGUACCUAAGGAGGAAGCCACGGCUAACUACGUGCCAGCAGCCGCGGUAAUC